GAUCACUGAUUUAAGAAGAAGAAGGCUGAAAUUCUUGUGAAUUUAGCAAUUUUCUCUUUUAAAUCCCUCCUUUUGUCAUGUGCCCGCAUAAUACUUUAUGAAGUAAAAGCUUGUCAAACAAGUUGGAGAAAAAAACGGUCUUGGAAUAUUAUUGAGAAAGAAAUCCAGGCAAUCAAAUGAUGGUUGCUGAGAAAAGAACCACAAAAAGAUGCCUACAGAGGAUCAGGA
This 228-nucleotide long non-coding RNA is filed under the name Mus caroli (Ryukyu mouse). Its description in RNAcentral is "lncRNA (MGP_CAROLIEiJ_G0005791.1)". Lineage: Eukaryota; Metazoa; Chordata; Mammalia; Rodentia; Muridae. The record is from RNAcentral.